Molecule: ribosomal RNA, 402 nt
Filed under: uncultured bacterium
Lineage: Bacteria
Description: bacterial SSU rRNA
Rfam family: Bacterial small subunit ribosomal RNA
Source: RNAcentral
GGGCCCGCACAAGCGGUGGAGCAUGUGGUUUAAUUCGAUGAUACGCGAGGAACCUUACCAGGGCUUAAAUGUAGUGGGACAGGUCUAGAGAUAGACCCUUCUUCGGACUCAUUACAAGGUGCUGCAUGGUUGUCGUCAGCUCGUGCCGUGAGGUGUCAGGUUAAGUCCUAUAACGAGCGCAACCCCUAUCGUUAGUUGCCAGCGAGUAAUGUCGGGAACUCUAACGAAACUGCCAGUGCAAACUGUGAGGAAGGUGGGGAUGACGUCAAAUCAUCACGGCCCUUACGUCCUGGGCUACACACGUGCUACAAUGGCCGGUACAGAGAGCAGCCACUUCGCAAGAAGGAGCGAAUCUGCAAAACUGGGCCCAGUUCGGAUUGGAGGCUGCAACUCGCCUCCAUG